GACGAACGCUGGCGGCGUGCUUAACACAUGCAAGUCGAACGGAAAGGCCCUGCUUUUGUGGGGUGCUCGAGUGGCGAACGGGUGAGUAACACGUGAGUAACCUGCCCUUGACUUUGGGAUAACUUCAGGAAACUGGGGCUAAUACCGGAUAGGAGCUCCUGCUGCAUGGUGGGGGUUGGAAAGUUUCGGCGGUUGGGGAUGGACUCGCGGCUUAUCAGCUUGUUGGUGGGGUAGUGGCUUACCAAGGCUUUGACGGGUAGUCGGCCUGAGAGGGUGACCGGCCACAUUGGGACUGAGAUACGGCCCAGACUCCUACGGGAGGCAGCAGUGGGGAAUAUUGCACAAUGGGCGGAAGCCUGAUGCAGCAACGCCGCGUGCGGGAUGACGGCCUUCGGGUUGUAAACCGCUUUCGCCUGUGACGAAGCGUGAGUGACGGUAAUGGGUAAAGAAGCACCGGCUAACUACGU
RNAcentral lists this ribosomal RNA (467 nucleotides) under uncultured bacterium. RNAcentral describes it as "partial 16S ribosomal RNA". It matches the Rfam family "Bacterial small subunit ribosomal RNA", at positions 28 to 506 of the family's 1533-position model. The record is from RNAcentral.